GAAUAUCCACGUCAAUGUGACGCAUGCCCAUCACGCGUACACGUGGGUCAAUGAAUAAUAGUAGCGCGGGGCAUUGCAGCGUGGUGCCGACUCCGGUCAACGCUAAGCUGGGUGCUUGCCAGGUUGGUUCUCCCUCUCUCUCUCUCUCUCUCUCUCUCUCNNNNNNNNNNNNNNNNNNNNCUCCUCUCUCUCUCUCUCUCUCUCUCUCUCUCUCUCUAGUCGCUAUCGUUGCCUGCAUCUCUCAACGGUCGUUCAAGAUAUAUAUGCUAAUAUCCCGGAAUAUGGGACAAUUUUUAGCAUUAUUUUAAUGUCGAAACAUGUCAUGUUCUUUUUUAUCAAUCCACCUAAAACAACGAGGAAAUAAUUCCGAUAACUACGUCACUCUUGUACGGCGGCUAUAUAUUUCUGGCGUCAUAUAAUUAUCGCUGUCGCAGAUUCGCGGUAUAUUCGGCUAGUUGACGCUGCCUAGAACCUCAGUUGACCUUGAUUAAAUUACCCCGAAUAAUGAAGGGAAAUAUUACUAUAAAAUACAAAAAAAAUAUGAUAAAGGGCAUUGAUCGCUCAUAACUACACGGCCCUGAUUGAAUCGGCAAGUUGCUUCUAUCAACAUCAUCCUAGAUCAUUCACCAUUUUAUUUCAGCUUAUUUAUUUAUUUAUUAGCACGUUUAGUUCCUCGUAAAUUUUUAUUUGUCUUACCCACAUCAUUAUUUUUGUGUAUUCAUAUAAUCUGCAAUAAAUAAGAGAUUAUUUAAUAUUUUCGUGGAGUAUCGUUGACUUAUAUAAAAUCCCUCAGCUCAUUCAUCCUCGCCAGACUUGGUAAUAACUGGGCGAUAAUCAUGAAAUGAUGGGCUUUUAAAAAUAAAAACCAACGGCAGAUUAUCCUCACCGCGGAGAUAUUCUUAGCAGCCCGUCGCGAGCAAUGAAUAUGAACCGACGGGGAGUGGGAAGUCUGACCGGCAGAGACGACCGCCCGGUGUGCGUAUAAACCGAGUAUGAGAACGUUGUUGAUCGCAUUCGCACUGAUUUUUGCGUAGUCAACUCUCAAUAAAUCGAAUGAAACUUAUGCUCGAAGAAUCGAUUAAAUUGGAAGAAAUCGAGGCGCGUCAUCUAAUAAAUUAUCAUCCAUCAAUAGAUAAUUAUUACCAAUUUUUUCAACAUUUUUAUAUGCCCCAUGCAGGCUGCCCUCCUCGGUAUGUGGGUUAGGGUGCUUACCCGAGCCACGUCCGGGGCUCGCUCCCAGGACGAAGAUCAGAGGUCAUUGACCGUCCUGCAUCGUUGACCUGGGGGUCAAAGCAGAAGAAGAACGCGCUGGGAACGACGCGCAAGCUAGCAUUUUUAUCCUCUUUCUCCC
RNAcentral lists this long non-coding RNA (1351 nucleotides) under Spirodela polyrhiza (greater duckweed). Its description in RNAcentral is "long non-coding RNA (SPOL_LNC000357)". Lineage: Eukaryota; Viridiplantae; Streptophyta; Magnoliopsida; Alismatales; Araceae. The record is from RNAcentral.